UAAACUAGGAUUAGAUACCCUAUUAUUUUAAAUGUAAAUAAUUUAAAUACUAAAUUAGUAUUAGUUAUGUUCUUGAAAAUUAAAAAAUUUGGCGGUAUUUUAGUCUCUUCAGAGGAACCUGUCCUGUAAUUGAUAGUCCACGAUAUAGAAUACUUUAUUUAUUAAUUUACAUAUCGUCGUAAUUAGAAUAUUUUAAAAGAAAAUUAAUAUUCUAAAUUUUAAAUUAAAAAGAAAAUCAGAUCAAGGUGUAGUUUAUAAUAAAGGAGAGAUGGGUUACAAUAAAAAUAUUUUAGGAUUAUUUUUAGGAUAAAAAUUUGAAUAUGGAUUUGAAAGUAAUUUUAUUAAGUUAAUUAAAAUGAUUUUAGCUCUAGAAUAUGUACACAUCGCCCGUCGCUCUUAA
RNAcentral lists this ribosomal RNA (400 nucleotides) under Spermophagus perpastus. Its description in RNAcentral is "partial 12S ribosomal RNA". Lineage: Eukaryota; Metazoa; Arthropoda; Insecta; Coleoptera; Chrysomelidae. The record is from RNAcentral.